Molecule: ribosomal RNA, 253 nt
Filed under: uncultured bacterium
Lineage: Bacteria
Description: partial 16S ribosomal RNA
Rfam family: Bacterial small subunit ribosomal RNA
Source: RNAcentral
UACGAAGGGGGCUAGUGUUGCUCGGAAUCACUGGGCGUAAAGCGCACGUAGGCGGAUUGCUAAGUCAGGGGUGAAAUCCUGGAGCUCAACUCCAGAACUGCCUUUGAUACUGGCGAUCUCGAGUCCGGGAGAGGUGAGUGGAACUGCGAGUGUAGAGGUGAAAUUCGUAGAUAUUCGCAAGAACACCAGUGGCGAAGGCGGCUCACUGGCCCGGUACUGACGCUGAGGUGCGAAAGCGUGGGGAGCAAACAGG